Molecule: ribosomal RNA, 274 nt
Filed under: uncultured bacterium
Lineage: Bacteria
Description: partial 16S ribosomal RNA
Rfam family: Bacterial small subunit ribosomal RNA
Source: RNAcentral
AUACGAAGGGGGCUAGCGUUGUUCGGAAUUACUGGGCGUAAAGCGCGCGCAGGCGGUUUUCCAAGUCAGUGGUGAAAGCCCAGAGCUCAACUCUGGAACUGCCAUUGAAACUAGAAAACUAGGGUACGGGAGAGGUGAGUGGAAUUCCGAGUGUAGAGGUGAAAUUCGUAGAUAUUCGGAAGAACACCAGUGGCGAAGGCGGCUCACUGGCCCGUUACCGACGCUCAGGCGCGACAGCGUGGGGAGCAAACAGGAUUAGAUACCCCGGUAGUCC